GUACGGGGGGGCAAGCGUUGUUCGGAAUUACUGGGCGUAAAGGGCUUGUAGGCGGCCAACUAAGUCCGACGUGAAAUCCCCAGGCUUAACCUGGGAACUGCGUCGGAUACUGGAUGGCUUGAAUCCGGGAGAGGGAUGCGGAAUUCCAGGUGUAGCGGUGAAAUGCGUAGAUAUCAGGAGGAACACCGGUGGCGAAGGCGGGUCUCUGGGCAGUGA
Molecule: ribosomal RNA, 216 nt
Filed under: uncultured bacterium
Lineage: Bacteria
Description: partial 16S ribosomal RNA
Rfam family: Bacterial small subunit ribosomal RNA
Source: RNAcentral